UACGGAGGGGGCUAGCGUUGUUCGGAAUUACUGGGCGUAAAGCGUGCGCAGGCGGCUUUGCAAGACAGAUGUGAAAUCCCCGGGCUUAACCUGGGAACUGCAUUUGUGACUGCAUAGCUAGAGUACGGUAGAGGGGGAUGGAAUUCCGCGUGUAGCAGUGAAAUGCGUAGAUAUGCGGAGGAACACCGAUGGCGAAGGCAAUCCCCCUGGACCUGUACUGACGCUCAUGCACGAAAGCGUGGGGAGCAAACAGG
RNAcentral lists this ribosomal RNA (254 nucleotides) under uncultured bacterium. RNAcentral's name for it is "partial 16S ribosomal RNA". It matches the Rfam family "Bacterial small subunit ribosomal RNA", at positions 524 to 776 of the family's 1533-position model. The record is from RNAcentral.